CACAAUUUCGUUUAAAUUUUGUUUUCAAAUAAUAUUUUAUAAAUUUGUCUAAGUGAUUUUUCUUUUUUAAAUGGCAAGUUUAAAGACGUUUAAAAGUAUACACGGCAAGGAAAUGUUACUUGUAAAUAAUUAUGAAUUCAUGCUUGAUAAGAUACGACUGCGAAUACGUGAUUAAAAUAAUAUAUAUUAUUGGAAAUGUACAAAACGAUGUGGAGCAACAUUUCGGACAAUAUUUGACCACGGUAAACAUAAACAAGACGAUUGUUCUAUUUUUAAUGAUCAUUACCACGCACCAGAUACAGUUAAAAUUCAAUGCAAAAUUUUAAAAAAUAAAAUUAAAAAAUGUGCUCAAGCUUCACAAGACGCACCAAAUCAAAUAUAUCUGAAUGAAAUUGCAAAUUGCAAUGUCAUAAUUUCAUCUCAAGAAACUAAAAACGCAUCUAAGCAAAUCGUAAAAAGGCAGAGAAAAGAAAAAGAACUAGAACCAGUUUCACUAAAUUUUAUACCUCCCUCGGAACUUCAAAAUACAAUUUCAGGACAACCUUUCUUUUUGAAAAAUGUAAUCGAAGGAAAUAAUAAAUUUAUGAUUUUCACAACAGUUCAGAAUUUUAUAUACUUGAGAGAAUCACAUUUUUGACUCGCUAAUGGAACAUUCAAGGCUUGUCCUGGAAUUUUUAAACAGAUAUUUACAAUACAUGGGUCAAUUUCACGAGGUAUCAAUAACAACAUUUGUGUACCAUUGCUAUACGUGUUGAUGACCAACCAAACUGAAGAUGAUUAUAAAACAGUGCUAAAUGUGUUUAAUAAUUUUGCGAUUGAAAAUAAUAUUAAUUUCGAAAACAAUAAUGAACUUGAAAUAAUAACGGACUUUGAAAAAGCUUCAAUCAACGCGAUCAAUGAUGUCUUUCCAUUUGUAACGCAUUCUGUUUGUUUUUUUCAUUUUUGUCAAAAUAUCUGGCGUCAUAUUUAAAAAGAAGGGCUAUCUACAAAGUACAUGGAAGACCCGGAAUUUAAUUUGAUCUGUCGGUAUUUGCCUGCUUAUUCUUUUCUCCCAGUAAACAAAGUAAUCGAAGGUUGGGAAAUUGUGAAAUUAUUAUUUAGUGACAACGAAAGAGUACAAGCACUUUUAGAAUAUUUCGAAAAUACUUACAUUUAUGGUAAACCAGCUAUGAGACUACGCGGACGUAUAAAACCUCAACAACACCCUCCCUUAUUUCCAAUUGACAUGUGAUCAGUAGCUUCAAGAGUUGAUUAAAAUGUGCCAAGAACAACAAAUAUUGCUGAAUCAUGGCACAGUCGACUUAAUAGAUUAGUAUCCAAACAACCAGGAGUUUACAAAUUAAUGAGAUAAUUCCGAAAAAUUCAGAAUGAAACUGAAAACUCUAUAGAACAAAUAAUUCAAGGCAGAACAAGUAAGAAAAGAAAAACAUGCAAUGAAGAACGGGAACAACGAAUUAAAAAUUUAGUUUUAAGACUAAAAAAUUCAGAAAUAAAUAUCAUUGAGUUUUUACGAGGAAUAUCAUACAAUUUAAGUUUUUAGUUUUUUUUUUUUAUUUAACAUUUACAUUUAUUGACUUAUUUAUCUUAC
RNAcentral lists this long non-coding RNA (1588 nucleotides) under Sipha flava (yellow sugarcane aphid). RNAcentral describes it as "uncharacterized LOC112679659". The record is from RNAcentral. Lineage: Eukaryota; Metazoa; Arthropoda; Insecta; Hemiptera; Aphididae.